RNAcentral lists this ribosomal RNA (880 nucleotides) under uncultured bacterium. Its description in RNAcentral is "bacterial SSU rRNA". It matches the Rfam family "Bacterial small subunit ribosomal RNA", at positions 8 to 916 of the family's 1533-position model. The record is from RNAcentral.
AGAGUUUGAUCCUGGCUCAGGAUAAACGCUGGCGGCGUGCAUAAAACAUGCAAGUCGGACGGGCAUCUUCGGAUGCUAGUGGCGGACGGCUGAGUAACACGUAAGUGACCUACCCUUUAGUGGGGAAUAACUGCUCGAAAGAGUAGCUAAUACCGCAUGUGCUCUUGUUAUCGAAGGUAAGAGUAAAGCCGAGAGGCGCUAGAGGAUGGGCUUGCGGCCGAUUAGCUAGUUGGUGGGGUAAAGGCCUACCAAGGCGAUGAUCGGUAGCUGGUCUGAGAGGAUGAUCAGCCAGACUGGGACUGCGACACGGCCCAGACUCCUACGGGAGGCAGCAGUUAGGAAUUUUGCACAAUGGCCGAAAGGCUGAUGCAGCAACGCCGCGUGGGGGAAGAAGGUCUUCGGAUCGUAAACCUCUUUUCCAGGGGAAGAUAGUGACGGUACCCUGGGAAUAAGCCCCGGCUAACUACGUGCCAGCAGCCGCGGUAAUACGUAGGGGGCGAGCGUUGUCCGGAUUUAUUGGGCGUAAAGAGCGCGUAGGCGGCUCUUCAAGUCGUGCGUGAAAUACUCCGGCUCAACUGGAGUGAGCCGUGCGAUACUGGAGGGCUUGAGGUCGGAAGGGGAAAGUGGAAUUCCCGGUGUAGUGGUGGAAUGCGUAGAUAUCGGGAGGAACACCAGUGGCGAAGGCGGCUUUCUGGACCGAUCCUGACGCUGAGGCGCGAAAGCGUGGGAAGCAAACUGGAUUAGAUACCCAGGUAGUCCACGCUGUAAACGAUGGGUGCUAGGUGUCGGGGGUAUCGACCCCCCCGGUGCCGCAGCUAACGCAUUAAGCACCCCGCCUGGGGAGUACGGCCGCAAGGCUAAAACUCAAAGGAAUUGACGG